AUACGUAGGGGGCGAGCGUUGUCCGGAAUGAUUGGGCGUAAAGGGCGCGUAGGCGGCCCGGUAAGUCUGGAGUGAAAGUCCUGUUUUUGAGAUGGGAAUUGCUUUGGAUACUGUCGGGCUUGAGUGCAGGAGAGGUAAGUGGAAUUUCCAGUGAAGCGGUGAAAUGCGUAGAGAUUGGGAGGAACACCAGUGGCGAAGGCGACUUACUGGACUGUAACUGACGCUGAGGCGCGAAAGUGUGGGGAGCAAACAGGAUUAGAUACCCUGGUAGUCCACACUGUAAACGAUGAAUGCUAGGUGUAGGGGGUAUCGACCCCUUCUGUGCCGCAGUCAACACAAUAAGCAUUCCGCCUGGGGAGUACGGCCGCAAGGUUGAAACUCAAAGGAAUUGGCGGGG
Molecule: ribosomal RNA, 397 nt
Filed under: uncultured bacterium
Lineage: Bacteria
Description: partial 16S ribosomal RNA
Rfam family: Bacterial small subunit ribosomal RNA
Source: RNAcentral